Molecule: ribosomal RNA, 379 nt
Filed under: uncultured bacterium
Lineage: Bacteria
Description: bacterial SSU rRNA
Rfam family: Bacterial small subunit ribosomal RNA
Source: RNAcentral
GACGAACGCUGGCGGCGUGCUUAACACAUGCAAGUCGAGCGGUGAACCACUUCGGUGGGGAUCAGCGGCGAACGGGUGAGUAACACGUGGGCAACCUGCCCCUAGCUCUGGGGAUAACCCCGGGAAACCGGGGCUAAUACCGGAUAUGACCUCGAGCGGCAUCUCUCGAGGUGGAAAGAUUUAUUGGCUAGGGAUGGGCCCGCGGCCUAUCAGCUUGUUGGUGGGUAACGGCCUACCAAGGCGACGACGGGUAGCCGGCCUGAGAGGGCGACCGGCCACACUGGGACUGAGACACGGCCCAGACUCCUACGGGAGGCAGCAGUGGGGAAUAUUGCGCAAUGGGCGAAAGCCUGACGCAGCGACGCCGCGUGAGGACGAA